AUUUACUUAAAAUUUAAAGAAUUUGGCGGUAAUUUAGUCUUAUUAGAGGAACCUGUUUUGUAAUCGAUAACCCACGAAAUAUCUUACUUGUUUUUAAUAGUUUGUAUACCAUCAUAGAAGAUAAUUUUGAUAAAAUAAAAUUGUUGAAAUUAAAUUUAUUAAGAAAAUUAGAUCAAGGUGCAGCUUAUAAAUAAGUUAAAAUGGGUUACAAUAAAUUUUAUUUAUAUGAAUAUAAAAUGUAAGGAUAAUUAUAGAAGGAGGAUUUAAUUGUAAUUAAAGUUUAAUAAGCUAUAAUGAUAAAAGCUCUAAAUUAUGUACACAUCGCC
This 326-nucleotide ribosomal RNA is filed under the name Sayamia sexpunctata. Its description in RNAcentral is "partial 12S ribosomal RNA". The record is from RNAcentral. Lineage: Eukaryota; Metazoa; Arthropoda; Malacostraca; Decapoda; Parathelphusidae.